CGCCUCUUGAAGUAUAUAAGAGGUCCAGCCUGCCCAGUGACUUGUUUAACGGCCGCGGUAUCCUAACCGUGCGAAGGUAGCGUAAUCACUUGUCUUUUAAAUAAAGACUAGUAUGAAAGGCAUCACGAGGGUCAAACUGUCUCCUUUUUCUAAUCAGUGAAACUAAUCUUCCCGUGAAGAAGCGGGAAUUCCUCUAUAAGACGAGAAGACCCUAUGGAGCUUUAAACUGUAAAUUAUUAGCCUACCUAUUUACUCCCUCCAGAAAUUUAACACUUUAGGCCAAUUAAUUGUACGUUUUAGGUUGGGGUGACCUAGGAGAAAAACUAACCCUCCUAGCUGAUAUGGGCCAAACCCCUAAGAAAAAAGCCACAACUUUGAUUAUCAAUAAAUUGACAUCAAUUGACCCAGUCCGCUGAGCAACGAACCAAGUUACCCUAGGGAUAACAGCGCAAUCUACUUCAAGAGUUCCUAUCGACAAGUGGGUUUACGACCUCGAUGUUGGAUCAGGGUAUCCGAGUGGUGCAGCCGCUACUAAAGGUUCGUUUGUUCAACGAUUAAAACCCU
RNAcentral lists this ribosomal RNA (564 nucleotides) under Microkayla illampu. Its description in RNAcentral is "partial 16S ribosomal RNA". It matches the Rfam family "Bacterial large subunit ribosomal RNA", at positions 1819 to 2597 of the family's 2925-position model. The record is from RNAcentral. Lineage: Eukaryota; Metazoa; Chordata; Amphibia; Anura; Craugastoridae.